UACGUAGGGUGCAAGCGUUGUCCGGAAUUAUUGGGCGUAAAGAGCUCGUAGGCGGUUUGUCGCGUCUGCUGUGAAAACGCGAGGCUCAACCUCGCGCCUGGCAGUGGGUACGGGCAGACUAGAGUGCGGUAGGGGAGAUUGGAAUUCCUGGUGUAGCGGUGAAAUGCGUAGAGAUCCGGAGGAACACCCGUGGCGAAGGCGCCCCCUGGGCCGCGCCUGACGCUGAGACGCGAAAGCGCGGGGAGCGACGGU
RNAcentral lists this ribosomal RNA (252 nucleotides) under uncultured bacterium. RNAcentral's name for it is "partial 16S ribosomal RNA". It matches the Rfam family "Bacterial small subunit ribosomal RNA", at positions 524 to 775 of the family's 1533-position model. The record is from RNAcentral.